Molecule: long non-coding RNA, 1393 nt
Organism: Patella vulgata (common limpet)
Lineage: Eukaryota; Metazoa; Mollusca; Gastropoda; Patellidae
Exons: 4
Source: RefSeq, a predicted model, not a curated record
AAGCUGCGUAUGAUCUGUCAUUUAAUGAAAAUUAUUUAAAGAAUUCUAACACACAGUUAUCAGUGGGUGGUGGGUGGACCAUUAAGUUAGAUGAUGGUAAAGCUCAAUUCAAGAAAGAUUCCGUGGUACACUUCUGGUCAUAUCAAGGCAAACCGUACGACAAGACCUUUACCAUUCAGAUGAAAUUCAAAGAUUUACCCUCAAGUAAAACGAAACAGAAUCUUCUCACUAACUGCGGCACCAACAAGGACUUGAAUACACCCUCCAUAUUAAUAGAAUUGAACAAGAAUAAUGAACACAAAACGGAGUGUCAUCUUCGUAUUGUUCUAGUCACUGGACCAGACUAUUCAACAUCAGAAUUAUCUCUACCGGUGAAGUCUGGGGAAUACAAUACGUUAACGGUAAACUAUUACAGAGGACAUUUACAAGCCACUAUUGUUUAUCCGGAUGGAGAAGUAAUUUCUGAAGAGAUGGAAUGUUCGGGUUCAAUAUUAACCAGUGCCUAUGAUUUAAGAUUGGGAUCAUGUGAUCAAAAAAAUAAUGGUUUUAUUGGCAUGAUGGAUUGGUUUAAAUAUUAUCCAUGUUCUGUAUAAAACCAAGUACCAAUUCAUAAAGUCAAGUUCAAGUUGGUUUCCUUUGGUGAAAUGUGUGCAAUAUCCACGGGCGUUUUGCUACAGACACGCUUUUCGUACAUAAACGACAGUCGUACACCGAAAAUCUCUAAAAAAAAAUGCUUAAAACCUUUUAUAAGACAUCGCUGAUCAUGCCUGACCGAAUCCUUAUUUAUAUCUGCGUAUGCCUAAAGCUGAAUUAGGACUUAAAGGAGAACAAAGAAGUCUCCUAAUACCCCACUGUGUAGGAAUCAUUAUAUCCAGCUAUAACAAGGGGUAAUUCCAAAGAACAAAUUCGAGAGAUUUAAGUUUGGUACCAAUGAUGAAAGAUGUGGUAGUAUUGAUAACGUCACUAUAACGCAUUCUUUAAUUAAGGGUAGCGCUUGGAAAGGGCCACCUAUAAUAUUUCUACAUGUUGAUCCCAGUAGCUGUCAUUCUCCUUUAAAAUUUCAACUUAAGUUUUUAACACGACCGAUUGGAACCCUGCCACGAAUAUAACGGUUUUAACAGUGUGUGUGUGUGUAUGGCUGAAACAGUUAGCAAUCCUGCUUGAGCAGUAAAGACGGCUUGCAAACAAAUACUUUUUUCUAUGUGUAAACAAUUAAAACUAAACUGUUUUAGUGCCGUUUCCAAAAUUAACAUAUGGUUUUUUUUGGGUUUUUUUUGUUAUAACGGCGGCCUAAAUCAGUGAAGACGGAGUUCAAAUUCAAAUACACAUAUUUUUAUGCUUUUGCAUGCGAGACCAAAUGUUGGAAGAAUGGAAAAUAAAUUAUAAUUUGUUU